CGUAGGUGCAAGCGUUGUCCGGAAUUAUUGGGCGUAAAGAGCUCGUAGGUGGUUCGUCGCGUCUGCUGUGAAAGUCCGAGGCUUAACCUCGGAUCUGCAGUGGGUACGGGCGGACUAGAGUGCGGUAGAGGAGAUCGGAAUUCCUGGUGUAGCGGUGGAAUGCGCAGAUAUCAGGAGGAACACCGGUGGCGAAGGCGGAUCUCUGGGCCGCAACUGACGCUGAGGAGCGAAAGCAUGGGAGCGAACAGGCUU
RNAcentral lists this ribosomal RNA (252 nucleotides) under uncultured bacterium. RNAcentral describes it as "partial 16S ribosomal RNA". It matches the Rfam family "Bacterial small subunit ribosomal RNA", at positions 526 to 779 of the family's 1533-position model. The record is from RNAcentral.